UACGGAGGGGGCAAGCGUUGUUCGGAAUCAUUGGGCGUAAAGGGCGCGUAGGCGGCCGUGCAAGUCGGGUGUGAAACCCCUCGGCUCAACCGAGGAACUGCACUCGAUACUGCUUGGCUAGAGUCCGGGAGGGGAUGGUGGAAUUCCCAGUGUAGCGGUGAAAUGCGUAGAUAUUGGGAAGAACACCGGUGGCGAAGGCGGCCAUCUGGACCGGCACUGACGCUGAGGCGCGAAAGCCAGGGGAGCGAAUGGG
RNAcentral lists this ribosomal RNA (253 nucleotides) under uncultured bacterium. RNAcentral describes it as "partial 16S ribosomal RNA". It matches the Rfam family "Bacterial small subunit ribosomal RNA", at positions 524 to 776 of the family's 1533-position model. The record is from RNAcentral.